UGAGGAAUAUUGGGCAAUGCCCGCAAGGGUGACCCAGCAACGCCGCGUGGAGGAUGAAUGUCGUAAGAUUGUAAACUCCUGUUAGAGGGGAAGAAUAGUACCGGUUGGACCGGUAUAUGACUGUACCCUCAGAGAAAGCCCCGGCUAACUACGUGCCAGCAGCCGCGGUAAUACGUAGGGGGCAAGCGUUGUCCGGAUUUACUGGGUGUAAAGGGCGCGCAGGCGGGAUAAAAAGUCAGUGGUGAAAUCCUACAGCUUAACUGUAGAACUGCCUUUGAUACUUUUAUUCUUGAGCUCGGGAGAGAGAGACGGAAUUCCAGGUGUAGUGGUGAAGUACGUAGAUAUCUGGAAGAACACCAGUUGCGAAGGCGGUCUCUUGGUCCGACACUGACGCUGAGGCGCGAAAGCGUGGGGAGCAAACA
This 422-nucleotide ribosomal RNA is filed under the name uncultured bacterium. Its description in RNAcentral is "bacterial SSU rRNA". It matches the Rfam family "Bacterial small subunit ribosomal RNA", at positions 355 to 774 of the family's 1533-position model. The record is from RNAcentral.